RNAcentral lists this unclassified non-coding RNA (331 nucleotides) under soil metagenome. RNAcentral's name for it is "partial contains 5.8S ribosomal RNA, internal transcribed spacer 2, and large subunit ribosomal RNA". The stretch from base 1 to 120 matches the Rfam family "5.8S ribosomal RNA", at positions 35 to 154 of the family's 154-position model. The record is from RNAcentral.
GAUGAAGAACGUAGCGAAAUGCGAUAAGUAGUGUGAAUUGCAGAAUUCAGUGAAUCAUCGAAUCUUUGAACGCACAUUGCGCCCUUUGGUAUUCCUUAGGGCAUGCCUGUUCGAGCGUCAUUUAAACCUUCAAGCUAAGCUUGGUGUUGGGUGACUGUCCGCUUCACUGCGGACUCGCCUCAAAAUUAUUGGCGGCCGGUACAUUGGCUUCGAGCGCAGCAGAAACGCGAACUCGGGCCCGUCGUAUUGGCUCCCAGAAGCUAUCUUCACAAUUUUGACCUCGGAUCAGGUAGGGAUACCCGCUGAACUUAAGCAUAUCAAUAAGCGGAGG